GAACGCACAUUGCACUCUGUUUCGGCCGAGUAUGCCUGUUUGAGAAUCUAUAGUAUUCAUUCUCUAAGCUUUGCUACAGAUGUCCUUAGGGGUGUUUGAGGCAAGCGGUGAGAGAUUUGAGGCGUCGCACUUACCCUGCGUGCUUUUAAAACUAUUUUGCUGGAUACCUACAGUAACGGAAAAGUAUGUGUAUGGAACCUCGGUUUCUCUAAUACUAAGUACGGGUGUUGGUGCUAGUCCGGCAAUCAACUAUUAAAGUUGGCCUCUAAGGUUAACUUGAACCAUGGUCUCAAAUCAGGCAGGAAGACCCGCUGAACUUAAG
Molecule: unclassified non-coding RNA, 322 nt
Filed under: uncultured fungus
Lineage: Eukaryota; Fungi
Description: sequence contains 5.8S rRNA gene
Source: RNAcentral